UGUUAAUAUACUCGAGUGCUAAAAAUGGG
RNAcentral lists this non-coding RNA (29 nucleotides) under Mus musculus (house mouse). Lineage: Eukaryota; Metazoa; Chordata; Mammalia; Rodentia; Muridae. The record is from RNAcentral.